CCACGCGGUUUCUCCACUGUUGUUUUUUCAUUGGUUGUUUCAUGUUCUAACUUCUACUGUGUUGUGUUGUGUCUUAAAUAGUAGUAGUAAAGUCAUCCCCAACGGAGGUUUUAAGGGGGAGGUUUUAAGAAAAAGUAGGAAAAAAAUAAAUCAGAAAGGAAAAAAAAAGAAGAAGAGCUCUUCUUAUUUAGUAUACUCGAUUUUAGAUUAGAGACUGUGACGUGUUGGCGCAUGGUUGGGUAAAAUUUUUUAUUGAGAGCAAUUUUUUUUUUUGGCAUUGUGUUCUUUCUCUUCCUCUCUCUUUCGCAAAUCUCUUUGGAGGAGAUUUAAUCGGUUGAAAUCGUUGGACCGUGGAGCUGGGAUCUAUGCUGUUCCCGGAUUGAAUCCUGGUCAGUAUGAGGAACACAUGAACCGUGGAGCUGGGAUCUAUGUUGUUCCUGUGCAUCAAUUUGGAGGACAUCUCGCUGGUCUUCUUCAAAUUAUCUUAUCCCUCUCACUUACAAUGUUUCCAUCACUAGGCAUCGCACCUUGCGAUUUUGGAGGAUAAAGAAGCAGAGAAAGAGGGUGAUGGUUCGAGGAGAGGGCUUCGAUUCCCUGCAAAUUCUCCAUUGGGUUUAACCAUGGUAUCUCUGACUUUAAUCUCUCAUUGAUUGUUAUCUUCUUCUGAUUAUUGCUUUCGAUUCUCUGAGUUUUGUUCAUCUCUUGUUGAUUGUGUCUGCCUGUGUAACCAACCAAGCUCCACCUUCUAAUAUGCGUUAGUUAUGAGAUUCCUGUAUGACUUGGAGAAACAAAGAGUUUUGGAGUCAGUUUUGAUAUCUUUAGUUGUGCAAUGUAGCAACCAUGCGCCUCGUGCUGAGUUUCUUCUCUUUGCAUUGCGUACAUUGUGUAGGAUUAGUUAUAUCAAUUGGGAUACUUUUUUACCAUCCCUUCUCUCUUCGGUUUCUGCUGCUGGCAGAGAGAUCCAUCACAUUUGCAUGCUCAAUGUUUCUGAGCUGCUUUGUGGGAUGAUGGUGAGAUAUAAGCAGAGAGUGAAUACUCUGGAUUUCGUUUUUAUUUUCCCGAUUUGUCCACUUAAACGGUUUAAGCAGCCUUGUUUGAUUGUUCAUUUUCAUAAUCUGUCCAAAGAUAUUAACUCACGGUAGCUUGGAUCUGAGCUUUUUUUUUUGUUUGUUUGUUUCCUGCGUCUUUUUGUACAACCUUAUUUCAAUUUUGAGAUUAUUACUUAUAACAGUUGCUCUGUAGAAUGUGCUGCGAUAGCUUAACUUAUAUAGCCUGUGAUGUUUUCUUAUUCAAUCUCUAGGUAAAGUUUUCGAUUAGUUUGUGUUGUGACAUACCAUAUAUAUAUAUCCAGUAUGCUUUUUAGGUUCUGUGACUUAUAUGUUGAGACUGACUUGAGAGGAAUGUGCUUAAACCCUUUGUGAAAUAUUAUGGUCUAAGGGCUUUUCUUUGUGUACUUACCUUCAGAUUGUUCAAUGCUCUGUUAUGCAAAUCUGUGUUUUGUUGCAGACUAUAUCCGCUGGAACAGUCAUAUUAUGAUGGAUGUGUCCACUAAAGUUGUUUUUGCAUUGACCAUCUUUAAAUCUGAGCUUCUCUUAUGCAGAAAUCUAGACAUGUAUUGUUAUUCAGGUUUUCAUUCCUCUUUCCUUCUUGGAUCUUCUGCAAUAGACAUGUACUAAAGUAGUUAAAGCUGAAAACAGGAAAAGAUGAUGGUUCAGUGCAGCAAGAUUUGAGAGGUCUUGCACUUAUCGAUUCCGGAAGAGCUGCUUCAGUGAGUUUGUGGCUGCCCUUUAAAAGUGGCAGAGCAGUUCUGAGCAGCACCAAGAUUUGUGGUUGUCCUGUCUUUCAUGCAUGAAUCUUUUCUCAUUCGUUACUUUUACUUGGUGAUGUGUUUGACAGAUUUCUGUGUCUCAGCUGCAUGCAGUAUUAUUACAUGCUUUUGGGUCUCUCGUUCAGUUGGGUGUAGGGUUUAAAGAGUGAGGGUUGAUGGAGAAGUAUUCAUUGAUAUUACAUCCACUGCUUUUCUUUUCUCUAAUUCAUUCUUGUUGAUCAUUUUCACUUUUGGAGGACACAAUUUGGAGGAUACAGUUAAUCAUUUUCACUUUUUAUGAUUUGUACUUCUAUUU
Non-coding RNA from Camelina sativa (false flax), 2123 nucleotides. NCBI's taxonomy places the organism in Eukaryota, Viridiplantae, Streptophyta, Magnoliopsida, Brassicales, Brassicaceae. The record is from RefSeq and is a predicted model, not a curated record.